RNAcentral lists this ribosomal RNA (496 nucleotides) under uncultured bacterium. RNAcentral's name for it is "partial 16S ribosomal RNA". It matches the Rfam family "Bacterial small subunit ribosomal RNA", at positions 28 to 506 of the family's 1533-position model. The record is from RNAcentral.
GAUGAACGCUGGCGGCGUGCCUAAUACAUGCAAGUCGAGCGAACGGACGAGAAGCUUGCUUCUCUGAUGUUAGCGGCGGACGGGUGAGUAACACGUGGAUAACCUACCUAUAAGACUGGGAUAACUUCGGGAAACCGGAGCUAAUACCGGAUAAUAUUUUGAACCGCAUGGUUCAAAAGUGAAAGACGGUCUUGCUGUCACUUAUAGAUGGAUCCGCGCUGCAUUAGCUAGUUGGUAAGGUAACGGCUUACCAGGGCAACGAUGCAUAGCCGACCUGAGAGGGUGAUCGGCCACACUGGAACUGAGACACGGUCCAGCCUCCUACGGGAGGCAGCAGUAGGGAAUCUUCCGCAAUGGGCGAAAGCCUGACGGAGCAACGCCGCGUGAGUGAUGAAGGUCUUCGGAUCGUAAAACUCUGUUAUUAGGGAAGAACAUAUGUGUAAGUAACUGUGCACAUCUUGACGGUACCGAAUCAGAAAGCCACGGCUAACUACGU